GAUAAACGCUAGCGGCAGGCUUAACACAUACAAGUCGAGGGGCAGCAUAGAUUGUAGCAAUACAAUUGGUGGCGACCGGCGCACGGGUGCGUAACGCGUAUGCAACCUGCCCGUCACAGGGGGAUAAUCCGGAGAAAUCUGGUCUAAUACCCCAUAACAUAUGGAUCGGCAUCGGUUCAUGUUGAAAUUUUCGGAGGUGACGGAUGGGCAUGCGUAGCAUUAGCUUGUUGGUGAGGUAACGGCUCACCAAGGCGACGAUGCUUAGGGGGACUGAGAGGUUUUCCCCCCACACUGGUACUGAGACACGGACCAGACUCCUACGGGAGGCAGCAGUGAGGAAUAUUGGUCAAUGGGCGCAAGCCUGAACCAGCCAUGCCGCGUGCAGGAUGACGGCUCUAUGAGUUGUAAACUGCUUUUGUACGAGGGUAAAGUGGGUUACGUGUAACCUUUUGAAGGUAUCGUACGAAUAAGGAUCGGCUAACUCCGUGCCAGCCGCCGCCGUAA
This 504-nucleotide ribosomal RNA is filed under the name uncultured bacterium. RNAcentral describes it as "partial 16S ribosomal RNA". It matches the Rfam family "Bacterial small subunit ribosomal RNA", at positions 28 to 523 of the family's 1533-position model. The record is from RNAcentral.